Molecule: ribosomal RNA, 864 nt
Filed under: Montenegrina perstriata mavrovoensis
Lineage: Eukaryota; Metazoa; Mollusca; Gastropoda; Stylommatophora; Clausiliidae
Description: partial large subunit ribosomal RNA
Source: RNAcentral
AAACUAUAAUAAUAUARAAUUGAUAGUUCCCGAAAAUAAAAGAUCUAAAAAUAUGUUAACAUUUUGACUUACUACAUAUAUUGUCGCAUUACUAUAUAAAGAUGUGUUUUUAGGGGUGAAAGACCUCCACUUUUAUUGAUAUCUGGAUAAGUGUUAAAUAAAUUUAGUUUAAUAUAUAGUUACAAUGUGAUAAGAUAUUGUAAAUGGAAAUUGUUAUAUACACAUAUCAAGGUUCUUAACUAAUACUUAGUGACCCUACUCUUGUACUGAUACACCUAUGCUUAUUAUUCCUUAUUAAUAUUUUAUUUUGGUUAAGUUAUAUUAAAAUAAAUAAUGUAUAAAUUAGUAUAUAUAAUAAAUUUAAUUGAAGGAAUUCGGCAAAUAUUUUAUACGACUGUUUAUCAAAAACAUAGCCAGUAGGUGUUAAUUAUUGGUGUGACCUGCCCAGUGAAUUUUUAACGGCCGCAGUACCCUGACUGUGCAAAGGUAGCAUAAUCAUUUGGCUUUUAAUUGAAGUCUCGUAUGAAAGGAAAAACGUAUAAAGACUGUCUCAGAAGUAAAUUUAUUUAAGUUGCUUUAUAAGGUGAAAAUACCUUAAAUUAAAAAAAUAGACGAGAAGACCCUUAGAAUUUUAAUAAAAGUCAGUAACUAUAUCUGAGGUAAUUUUUGUUGGGGCAACAUUUUUUCAUGUAAUAAAAAUAACCUAUUAAGUAUAUAACGAAUAAGCGUAAUAAAGUAAAAAUUACCUAAGGGAUAACAGCAUAAUUUUAAAUAAAGAUUGUGACCUCGAUGUUGGACUAGGAACUAUUAAGGCUAGUCGUUUUAAUAUAAUAGGUUCUGUUCGAACUUUAUUUCCUACAUGAU